GACGAACGCUGGCGGCGUGCUUAACACAUGCAAGUCGAACGGUGAAGCUCCAGCUUGCUGGAGUGGAUCAGUGGCGAACGGGUGAGUAACACGUGAGCAACCUGCCCCUGACUCUGGAAUAAGCGCUGGAAACGGCGUCUAAUACUGGAUACGAGAAGGGUCCGCAUGGGCACUUUCUGGAAAGUUUUUCGGUUGGGGAUGGGCUCGCGGCCUAUCAGCUUGUUGGUGAGGUAAUGGCUCACCAAGGCGACGACGGGUAGCCGGCCUGAGAGGGCGACCGGCCACACUGGGACUGAGACACGGCCCAGACUCCUACGGGAGGCAGCAGUGGGGAAUAUUGCACAAUGGGCGAAAGCCUGAUGCAGCGACGCCGCGUGAGGGAUGACGGCCUUCGGGUUGUAAACCUCUUUCAGCUCCGACGAAGCGCAAGUGACGGUAGGAGCAGAAGAAGCACCGGCCAACUACGUG
Molecule: ribosomal RNA, 468 nt
Filed under: uncultured bacterium
Lineage: Bacteria
Description: partial 16S ribosomal RNA
Rfam family: Bacterial small subunit ribosomal RNA
Source: RNAcentral